Long non-coding RNA from Eupeodes corollae, 914 nucleotides. RefSeq lists it as uncharacterized. The record is from RefSeq and is a predicted model, not a curated record. Lineage: Eukaryota; Metazoa; Arthropoda; Insecta; Diptera; Syrphidae. The transcript has 2 exons.
CAUCAAUUAUGACUUUUUGAAAAUCUUAAAUUAAGAAACAUUAACAAAACAUUUACUAACCAUUCAAAUGAAAUGGUUACAUCUGAGAUGUGUAGCCUUACACAAAUGAUAAGACCUAAUUAACAAAAAUAAAGUUGUGUUUCUAUUAUUUUGGCCAUGGCUGUAUCUAAACCACAACACAAACGAAACCACACACAAAAUAUUUCUGCAGCAAACCAUCAAUUAGUAAAGGAUUUAAAACACUUGGCAUCCCUGAAGAAGACUUUUGCUAAAUGUUUUGCUAAAUUAAUGCAAAUUUUCUUUCCCACAUGUGAAACCAAAAAAAAAAGAAAAAUCUUUUAAAAAUAACAACAAAUGGACUCGGAAAAGUAGGCUAUAUAAAUAUAUAUGUACCUAACAAAUAAUAUUUGUAAACAAAAAAAGAAUUUACUUAAAUGAAUCAUAAAUGAAAAAUUAUUUCAUGGUGAUAACAAAAGGAAAUAAAUUAUUUAGAAAAAGAAAAACAUCGACGUUUUUUUUUUUUAAAUUCUUAAGAAUAAACCAAGAAGAAUAUAAUUUGAGUAUAUUUUGGGAUUUUCCAAUAGCUCAGCUGCUGCGGCUGCUGCUGCUUCUGCUGUGUUGCGAUGGCAUUCCUUCGCACAUUUCCACAGAAAACACAAGACAAAUUUAAAUGCAGACACACGUUGGGAUUUGGGAAUUUAGAACACGACGUCGACUUCGAAGACGAAACGGACCGUUUGAAUACAUUAAGGCCACAACAGAUGAAUAAUAUUGUGCAAUUAAAAUUAAUCUUUUUUAUUUUCUUAAUUUUAUUCUUUGGUUUCUUUAUCUCUUUAAGUUUUAGUUUAAAGAGGACUAUAACUGUCACUCACUUUAUAUAUAAAAAUAUAACAUAAAAUGCAUUUUAUUUUUAA